CCAGUCGGCCGGACGGCCGCUCUCGCGGGAACGCAGGUUCUCGCGGGGGAGGAAAGUCCGGGCUCCACGGAAAAUCGGUGCCGGAUAACGUCCGGCGGGGGCGACCCCAGGGAAAGCGCCACAGAGAUCGAACCGCCGCGUGCCGACAGCUUCGGCUGUCCCGCGCGGUAAGGGUGAAAAGGUGCGGUAAGAGCGCACCGCGGACCCGGCA
Molecule: RNase P RNA, 211 nt
Filed under: Allobosea sp.
Lineage: Bacteria; Pseudomonadati; Pseudomonadota; Alphaproteobacteria; Hyphomicrobiales; Alloboseaceae
Description: partial RNase P RNA component class A
Rfam family: Bacterial RNase P class A
About the family: Ribonuclease P (RNase P) is a ubiquitous endoribonuclease, found in archaea, bacteria and eukarya as well as chloroplasts and mitochondria.
Source: RNAcentral